RNAcentral lists this ribosomal RNA (254 nucleotides) under uncultured bacterium. RNAcentral's name for it is "partial 16S ribosomal RNA". It matches the Rfam family "Bacterial small subunit ribosomal RNA", at positions 524 to 776 of the family's 1533-position model. The record is from RNAcentral.
UACGGAGGAGGCAAGCGUUAUCCGGAAUUAUUGGGCGUAAAGCGUCCGUAGGUGGCACUUCAAGUCUGCGGUCAAAGACCGGGGCUUAACCCUGGAAAGGCCGUGGAAACUGAAGUGCUAGAGUGCAGUAGGGGUAGAGGGAAUUGCCGGUGUAGUGGUGAAAUGCGUAGAGAUCGGCAGGAACACCCAGGGGGGAAACCAGUCGACUGGGCAUCUACUGACGCUGAGGUGCGAGAGCGUGGGGAGCGAACCGG